Lactuca sativa (garden lettuce) is the source of this 1470-nucleotide non-coding RNA. Lineage: Eukaryota; Viridiplantae; Streptophyta; Magnoliopsida; Asterales; Asteraceae. The record is from RefSeq and is a predicted model, not a curated record.
GAGAGGAAGAUGCGUAGUAUACAUGAAAAAGCGUAUAAUAACAAGAAUACCAAUUUCCUCAACAAGGUAUUCUUCCUUCAUAAUUCUUGUGCAGUUGGAAACCUCCUUUUGUUUCCUCCAACAAAUUAAAAACACAACUCCGAUCAAGAAUCUGAAAUCGAACUUCUCGAUUUCAAAAGAUUCUGAGAAACCAAAACUUCUGCAUCAUGAAAUACAAAAAAGGAAGUAUAGUGGAAGUCCUGAACACAGACAAAGCUCCUUCCCAUUCAUGGCGUUAUGCUCAAAUAGUUUCCCACAAUAAACACAAAUACACAGUCAGAUACGAUGUCUACCAUGGAAACCAACAACAAGAAGAAGAAGAAGAACACAUAUCAAGAAAAUUCAUCAGACCAUGUCCUCCCACAGUUGAAAUUUCAGAACACUACCCUGGUGAUGUAGUGGAAGUGUUUCACAAUCUUUCAUGGAAGAUGGCAAUCGUUUCCAAAUCAUUCAAUUUGAACUUAUUUCAAGUAAGAUUAGUCGGAUCUUUUAUCGAGAUCAAAGCAAGAAAAUCAGAACUCCGUGUACGCCAAUCAUGGCAGAAUAACAAAUGGGUUGUGAUUGGAAACCACAACAAGAAGCAAAGGUACACUAAUGAUAGUGUUAGUGUUACUAGUUCUGUUGGUAGUUGCAGUGUUGAUGAUAAAUUUCAUCAGAAUAUAAAAGAAGGUGAUAUUGAUGAUAGUGAUGAUGGGGAGUCUGUUUGUGAAGGAGGGUAUUUUGGGGAUAAUAAAAAGAAGUUGAGAUUGGGGGAAGAGAUACAUAGGUUAGAGUUGAAGGCGUAUAGGCGUACUAUUGAGGCGUUACAUGCGUCAGGACCAUUAAGUUGGGAAAAAGAAUCAAUGGCCCAAAAGUUGGAAGCUUGUAUUGCUGGGUGUGCCACCUUCUCUGUUGGUGUUGGAUGACGUGGCACACACAAAAUAAGAUCUGUUGAAAACAGCUAAUCAUUACCCUCUUGUGUACUUAAUAUAUUCGUAUGAUGUGAUAUGUUAAUCGGGCUAUUUUGGUUUUAUGAUGUAGGUUUUUUACAUAAGUUUAUGUAUGCAGUUUGAUAUUCAAGUUUUUGAUAUUCAACGAUCGUUAUGCAGCUUAUGAUGGUAAAAUUUGUAUAUGAAAUCAAGACAGGUAGUCAAUGCCUUUCUUUUGUUUAACUCUUAGGGGUUGUUUCAUAUGCCUCUUAUGAGAUUUGGUAAGAGGUUGGGUUUGACUUGGUUAAAUUGAGAUUGUUUGAUGCGAUACUUAGAAGAUUCUAACUCGUGACUCGGUCAUGACUCCUCUAAAAUGCCUCUUAAUCGGUCAGGUUCCGGACGAAUGAGUAUUUACUAAAUUAGACGUCGACUCGAUCAUAUAUGAUUCAAUCAACAACUAUCAAAUAACUCUUUUACUCUUAAUAUUAGAACACUAAUAUGAUCUACAGUUUUUAUUUUUUUA